GCGCGAAACCUCUGCAAUGCGCGAAAGCGUGACAGGGGAAGUCUGAGUGGCGGAAACUUAGUUUCCGUCUUUUGCCAAGUGUAAACAGCUUGGAGAAUAAGGGUGUGGGCAAACACAUCCUUAUGGUGUUUGACAGUCUAUAGGGAGUGGCCUAUGACUGGUGGCAGCCGCCGCGGUAACACCAGCGCCUCGAGUGGUACCCACGAAUAUUGGGCCUAAAGCGUCCGUAGCCGGACUGAUUAGUCCACUGUGAAAUGUUGGGGCUCAACCCUAACGCGUGCAGUGGAUACUGUCAGCCUUGGGAACGGGGGAGGGUCGGAGUACUUCCAGGGUAGGGGUAAAAUCCGUUGAGCCUGGAAGGACUACCAGUGGCGAAGGCGCCGAUCCAAAACGUAUCCGACGGUGAGGGACGAAAGCUGGGGGAGCGAACGGG
Molecule: ribosomal RNA, 433 nt
Filed under: uncultured euryarchaeote
Lineage: Archaea; Methanobacteriati; Methanobacteriota
Description: bacterial SSU rRNA
Rfam family: Archaeal small subunit ribosomal RNA
Source: RNAcentral